UCUCUAAUGCGGCCGUGGUUUUCCAUGCCCGUCACAAGCCGGGAAAACGCAGAGUGGAGA
This 60-nucleotide non-coding RNA is filed under the name unclassified sequences. The record is from RNAcentral.